RNAcentral lists this unclassified non-coding RNA (376 nucleotides) under Hevea brasiliensis (rubber tree). Lineage: Eukaryota; Viridiplantae; Streptophyta; Magnoliopsida; Malpighiales; Euphorbiaceae. The record is from RNAcentral.
UAAUCACUAAAGAUGCCAACAACAUCAUAAGAGUUCUGCAGGUAGAUGUAAGGAAUCAUUUAGCUUCCUCAUCAUCAUCUUCAGCCUUUCCUUUUGAUGACUCCCGCUGCGAGGAGGCUGAGUCUGCAGCAAAACCAGAAACAUGUCUUUGGAGGGUCAUUGCCACUAAAAAUGCUAGCUCUGCUGAUCUGAUUAGUUGUCAGACCCUUGAUCAUUAGUUAUAUCUGUAUGUCUUACCCUUUCUGUAGUUCAGUGUGCUGAUGAAUGUUUUGUAUACAUUAUUCUUACCAUUAUAAAGAGAGAAUGCUUGAAAGGGAAAAAAAAUUUAUCAUAGUAUUGGAAAUCUAUGACAUGAUCCAUGAUAUAUAGGCACUUG